UUACUACAGAAAAUGACUGAGCGGCGAACGGGUGAGUAACGCGUGAGCAACCUACCUUAGUUACUGGGAUAGCCCGAGGAAACUCGGAUUAAUACCGGAUAUUCUUAUUUAAUCACAUGAUUUUUUAAGGAAAGGUCAGCCGAACUAAGAUGGGCUCGCGUUCUAUCAGCUAGUUGGUAGGGUAAUGGCCUACCAAGGCUACGACGGAUAGCUGGUCUGAGAGGACGAUCAGCCACACUGGGACUGAGACACGGCCCAGACUCCUACGGGAGGCUGCAGCAGGGAAUAUUGCGCAAUGAGCGAAAGCUUGACGCAGCGACACCGCGUGUGGGAUGACGGAUCUAGGUUUGUAAACCACUUUCAGGAGGGAAGAAAAUGACGGUACCUCCACAAGAAGCCCCGGCCAACUACGUGCCAGCAGCCGCGGUAAUACGUAGGGGGCGAGCGUUGUCCGGAUUUAUUGGGCGUAAAGAGCUCGUAGGCGGUUCAACAAGUCGGUCGUGAAAGUUCAGGGCUCAACCCUGAAAUGUCGAUCGAUACUGUUGUGACUAGGAUACGGUAGAGGUGAGUGGAAUUCCGAGUGUAGCGGUGAAAUGCGUAGAUAUUCGGAGGAACACCAAUUGCGAAGGCAGCUCACUGGGCCGCUAUCG
RNAcentral lists this ribosomal RNA (650 nucleotides) under uncultured marine bacterium. Its description in RNAcentral is "bacterial SSU rRNA". It matches the Rfam family "Bacterial small subunit ribosomal RNA", at positions 75 to 742 of the family's 1533-position model. The record is from RNAcentral.